GGCUGGAUGACGGAUCGGCUGCGGAUCGCAAAGGGUGACGCGGGCUCGGCUUCAGGCGACGGCUGCGAGAGAUGGCUGCUGCGGCGGACGCUCGGCGUGCGCGGAUCGGCUUGGACGAUUCUUCUGAUGCGGCUGGAAGCUCGGCGACGGCUCGGGUGGACUGCAGACUCGACUGCGCUGCUGAACAGAGAGAGGAAGGCUUGGCGGCUCGGGUUCGUGGCGGCGGCUAGGGUUUUAUGAAUAAAUUUUUUUCUCCCUUUUUCUCUUUUCUUUUCCCCUUUCUUUCUUUGAUUUUUCUCUUCUUCUUUACGCACGAGACCCAAGGCUUUUUAUAAGACAAUAUCUCUUUUCUUUUCCUUUAAAUAACCCAAACCAACCAUCUCCUCUCUCUCUCCAAAUCUCACCAAACUCAACCAACCCUCCUUUCAAUUAGCAAUAACUCAUUAAAUAAUUUCUAAAUACUAAAAUAGGUAACAUAAUAGAAAAAUACUUAAUAAUAAAAAAAGUGGAAAACCCAACUUUAAUAAACCGGAAAAUUCAAAAUGAUAAGGUUCUCCCAAUAAAUUUGUCUUUUCCAAGACCAUACAUAAAUAUUAAUAGUAAGAUGAACAAAAACGAGUUUGUUGGGACGUUACACCCAAACACACGAAGAGGAACCUCAGACACAAGGCGAGUAGAGGGGUAAGACGAUCUAAGGGAGUCUGAAGGGGGAGUAUACGAGAAGGCAUUCUAUUGAUUAAGUGAGUGGCUGUAAGAAUAACAUCUCCCCACAGGUAUGAUGGAAGGGAAGUGGAAAGCAUAAGGGAGCGAGCUACUUCCACAAGGUGACGGUUUUUUUUGUUCGACCACUCCAUUUUGUUGAGGAGUGUAGGCACAUGAGGUUUGGUGAGCAAUCCCUUUGGAGGUUAGAAAUUCACUAAGGUUAUGGUUUUGGAAUUCCCGACCAUUAUCACUUCGAAGAAUUGCAAUUUUUUAUGAAAUUAUGUUUCAAUAGUACGAUAGAAGUUUUGGAAAAUGGACGAAACCUCGGAUUUAUCUGUUAUUAGGUAGACCCAGGUAAGACGGGUAUGGUCAUCGAUGAAAGUUACAAACCACCGCUUUCCCGAUGAGGUGGUGACCUUGGAAGGACCCCAAACGUCACUAUGGAUGAGGGUAGACGGUUGUGUAGGUUUAUAUGGUUGUGAGGGAAAAGAGACCCGAUGUUGUUUAGCCCGGAUACACAUAUCGCAAGAUAGAGAAGAGACAUCAAGUUUAGAAAAAAGGUGGGGAAAUAAAUAUUGCAUAUAUGUAAAGUUUGGGUGGCCCAGUCGAAAAUGCCACAACAUACAGUCUUUGUUCAAAAGUGCUAAAGUAAGAUGACAGUAAACUAACCCUAGACAAACUACUAUAGGAGGUAUCAUCAUCAAGGAUGUAAAGUCCCCUUCUAUGUCAAGCAGUGCCAAUCGUCCUCCUCGAGCUUAUGUCCUGAAAAUAAACCGAUACAGAUAAGAAGAUAGCUUUACAAUGCAAUUCACGAGUGAUCUUGCUUAUAGAUAACAAAUUGUAAGACAGUUUAGGGACAUGCAAAACACUCUGGAGAGUAAAACUGUCAGAGGGAACUAUUUGUCCUUUGCCAGCGAUUAGAGCUAGAGAGCCAUCAGCUAUUCGAAUUUUUUCAUUACCGGUACACGGGGCAUAACAGAUAAAGUGUUUCGAAGAACCUUUCAAGUGAUCUAUAGCCCUUGAGUCUAAGAUCCAGGGAUUCUUCCCAUCAACGCUAAUAAGCCCAAGGGACUGAGGCAUACCUGACUGAGCAAUGGCACCCAGAGUCGGAGUCUUGGUCUGGCUCGCAGUAGGAUCAGUUGAUUGAGAGGUGCUGGCAGGGGUAGUCUCACUAAUGUAUGCACGUCAUGAGUUCUGUUUCUCGUUGGAGGACCGUUUGUUACCUCUUGGGGGACGACUGUGGAGUUUCCAACACUGAUCCUUGGUGUGCCAUUGUUUCUUGCAGUGCUUACACACAGGAAUUGACUUCCCAUUAUUCUUGUCACUGUCAUGAUUUGAGGACCGAGCGCUAAAGGCAGCGGAGUCAAUGGUAGGGGUAGUAGUACACCCAUGGCAUUAGUGCGAUCCUCUUCCAGGCGGACUUCAAAACAAACUUCCAUUAGGGAGGGAAGAGGUCUUUGUCCGAGUAUACGACCACAAACAGUAUCAAAUUUGGGAUUAAGUCUUGCAAGGAAGUCAUAAACACGGUCAACCUCUUCAAGUUUAGCAUAUUGAGUAUCGUCAUUUGGUGUGUCCCAAACUGUCUCUCUGCACAAAUCCAUCUCUUUCCAGAGGAGAGAGAGCUUGUUAAAAUAGGUAGUCACGUUCAGAGUCCCUUGUUUGCAAUUAUGGACCUGUUUUCGCAGUGUAUACAACCGAGAGGCAUUCUGUCGUUUCGAGUAAAGGGUUUGAGUUGUAUCCCACAAAUCUUUUGCUGUGGCAGCAGAUAGUAGAGGCUUGUCGAUCUGUGGUUCCAUACUAUUAAUCAACAUGGACCGAAUAAGUGAGUCCUCCCCUUUCCAAAGUCGUUCCAAGGCGUCUUCUGGUAGAGGACGUACAGUCCCUCCAGUUAAGAAGUCGAACUGGUGGCGACCUUCGAGGAACAUCUUUAUUGAUUGGGACCAAGAAAAAUAAUUUUGCCCAUUUAAUUUUUCACCUGAAAAAUUCUCUGUAGACGAACCCAAAGAGCCAGUUAUAUAAUUUGACAGUAAAUUAGGGAACGAAGUUAUCGGGUUCUUGGAAUACAUCGGUAACUCGGUUGGUUUGAAAUGCAUCAAAGACUCACCCGCUUCAAUGUUUGAUCUGUUCUAAGGUUGAUUAAUUCCGUUACCAGAAAACAAUGGUUGCUGUAAAGAGUCAACGUACAGCGGAUGCUUACUGUACAGAUUUGAAAGAUUUACGGUUGAGGGUUGCUAUCCGGAGCUCAUAGGCGGCGCGUGAGGAUGCGAAUGGCCGGAAGGGCUUGACGGUUGGACAUCCGACGGCGCGUAAAAGGGAAUGGGCUGGGCGGUGAGAUGAAACGGCCCAUGCGCUGGAGAGAAGCGGCGCGUGAAGCAUCUUCUGGUCAGACGGUGGCUCGUACGACUGCGAAACCACUCCCGUUGGGUAGAUCGGCGGUUUCUGUAGGUUUUGAAGCAGUUUCUCCAUGGCGGCAGCGACGACAGUGACGGGUUCAAUUUCGAUCUGGGUUUCUCCUAGGGUUUUGUUAUUGCUUUGCUCUGAUACCAUAUUGAAAGCAAUUAACAACAACCCGAGACUUACGUGGAAACCAGAGAACUGGGAGAAAAACCACGAUACUUUAGUUUUUAUUAUUUUUCUUAUGAAUACAAUUGGUACAAAUAGAGAAAAUAAAUAUAGUACAAUAGGAGUAAGAAAGGAAAAGAUCUAGGAAAUAUUUAGGAAAUAAAAUCUUAUAUAUUAUUCUUUCCAAAAAUACUCUAAGGACAAAGCCCUACUAAUUCUAACAGUAGGCUUUAAGGUUUUAUUUGUGAAGAUUAUGAUUUCAUAUUUAAGUUAAUGAAAGUGUUUUACAUUCCUACAUCAUGAAGUUGCAUCCUUUAUCUUUUUAAACAUGUGUAGCCAUAUACUGCUUUAACUUUAAGUUUAAACUGUAACAAUCUAUUCUUUCAGUGCAAAUCAUACUUACGGUUGCUGAACAUCAUAGUGCCAUUGUUCCUUGGCAACUUAUAGCUGAAAGGACCGGUGUUGUUCUGAAGUUUGUAAGUUUAGGUGAACAUAAUGUCCCAAACUUACUAGAGUUAAAGGAAAUGUUUUCAACAAAAACAAAGCUUGUGGUUACCUAUCAUGUCUCAAAAUGUAUUGGGUACACCAUUCUAUUUGAUAUUUAGCAUUUUUUUAAUCUAUUUCCUUUUUAUACCAUUCAAUUUAUAAACAUUACUCAAAUAAAACAAGUAGUAGGUGAAUAUUUCAAACUGAAGUGUUAUCAUAUUACUUCAGUUAUCACACUUCUAGUGGAAAGGUUUGCAGCUGAAUAAAAACAAUAAAGUCAAAUGAAUGAAGAAUGAAAAGAACUGUCAGACAUUUUUCCUUCUCUUGAUCUGUGUCCAGUUACUCUUGAUAUCUUUCUAAUAAUAACUAUAUGCAAAUAGUGGAAUUCAGUAUGAUUUGAUUUUUUUCUCUGCAACUUAUGUUCUUCCAAUUGAAGAAAUAGUUGGCUUAGCACAUCAUUUUGGGGCAAAAGUGCUUGUAGAUUCGUGCUAGAGUGUUCUACACAUAGUUGUCGACAUCUAGGCACUUGAUGCUGACUUUCUUAUUGCUUCUUCUCACAAGGUUAGGUUGUUUUCUUAUUAAUUAAAUGGCAAGCCUUACAUUUGGGCAUAUGAAGAUAAGGAAUAAACAUGCUUCAGAUGUGUGGGCCUACAGGCAUUGGAUUCUUGUAGAUUGAUCUAUUGUUUGCAAUGCCUCCAUUCUUAGAUGGUGGAGAUUUCUUGACCAUUCCACAUUUGCACAACCUCGUUCCAGAUUUGAAGCUGGGACGCCUACAAUUGGAGAAGCAAUUGGUUUGGGGAGCUGCUAUUGAUUAUCUAUCUAGGAUCGAAAUGCAAAAAAUUCAUAGUUACGAAGUGAGUUGAUUGAAAUUUGGUAUAUACCCUUUGUUUGAGAAUUUUUGGGCGGUGAAAAAUGCGUGAAGCAACUAAAUCAGGGUAUCAACUAAAUAAAUACCUUCAUAGAAGAAUUGGCGAAUUAUCUAUAUGAAAACCUUCGUGCAGUCCCUAACAUUCGAAUAUAUGGCCCAGCUCAAUUUAGACUUUAGUGUAUUUAUAAAUUAUUUAAUUAAGCAACGGUUUCAUGGACUACAUUUUUUCUACAUAAUUAUCGAUGUAUACAUUGUUGACACUUACCUGCCUUUGUUUUUUUUC
Cucumis melo (muskmelon) is the source of this 4901-nucleotide RNA transcript. It is a transcript of the gene named cysteine desulfurase 1, chloroplastic-like, with no coding region annotated. The transcript has 4 exons. The record is from RefSeq and is a predicted model, not a curated record. Lineage: Eukaryota; Viridiplantae; Streptophyta; Magnoliopsida; Cucurbitales; Cucurbitaceae.